This is a non-coding RNA of Vicia faba (fava bean), 246 nucleotides long. The record is from the annotation of a GenBank genome assembly. NCBI's taxonomy places the organism in Eukaryota, Viridiplantae, Streptophyta, Magnoliopsida, Fabales, Fabaceae.
AUGAUUAGGGGAAUAACCUUGCAUUAUGUCUGGCCCAAGUUCUCUACAGGUUCUUCUCUAUCUCACACCUUCUCUCUUUCAGCCUUCAUAUGUAAUAAAAACACCAAAAUAAAGAAUAUUUUAAGUAAGAACAUGCCAAGGUUUAAAUAUAUACAUGAUCCGGGUUAUCGAUGUCGAAGAAAUUGUAUCAACUCUUAUUUGUUUAUUUUUUUGCCCCAAGUGUUUAUCUUAUACACUAGUAUAUGA